This 478-nucleotide ribosomal RNA is filed under the name Cryptosporidium ryanae. RNAcentral's name for it is "SSU rRNA". It matches the Rfam family "Eukaryotic small subunit ribosomal RNA", at positions 539 to 1064 of the family's 1831-position model. The record is from RNAcentral. Lineage: Eukaryota; Apicomplexa; Conoidasida; Eucoccidiorida; Cryptosporidiidae.
CAGUAACAAAGUCUGGUGCCAGCAGCCGCGGUAAUUCCAGCUCCAAUAGCGUAUAUUAAAGUUGUUGCAGUUAAAAAGCUCGUAGUUAAUUUUCUGUUAAUUUUUAUAUACAAUGCUACGGUAUUUAUAUAAUAUUAACAUAAUUCAUAUUACUUUUUAGUAUAUGAAACUUUACUUUGAGAAAAUUAGAGUGCUUAAAGCAGGCUAUUGCCUUGAAUACUCCAGCAUGGAAUAAUAUUAAGGAUUAUUAUUCUUCUUACAUGUUCUAUAAUAAUAAUACCGUGUUCUAUUUUCAUUUGGGGGCAUUUGUGUUUUGCUUACUAAGGUGAAAUGGGGGUUUUGUUAAAGACAAACUACAGGUGAAGCAUUUGCCAAGGAUGUUUUCAUUAAUCAGCAACGAAAGUUAGGGGAUCGAAGACGAUCAGAUACCGUCGUAGUCUUAACCAUAAACUAUGCCAACUAGAGAUUGGAGGUUGUU